Ictalurus punctatus (channel catfish) is the source of this 461-nucleotide long non-coding RNA. Lineage: Eukaryota; Metazoa; Chordata; Actinopteri; Siluriformes; Ictaluridae. The record is from Ensembl.
CACUUGUGUACUGUGGGUUUUACAUUAUUUAUUUAUUUAUUUAUUUCUCCAUUUAGGUUUGAAUUGUUUUAAUCUCUUUUUUAAUUCUUUUUCUUUUUCUUUCAAGGCAUUCUGGGGUGGCAUAGGUAUGCCUUUGCCCGUGUUUGUCCUUAUUGGGAGUUGUGAUUAAUCAAAUGAUGAUUCUUAUGAACAGGCCGACCAGAAGGGAAAAGAACAGUAGAGCGAAUUGCGAACAUGAGGCACGGGCCGAUUAGGGUUGGGGUUAGGGUUAGCGGUUAGGGUUAGGGUUAGGGGGUUAGGGUUAGGGUUAGGGGGUUAGGGUUAGGGUUAGGGGGUUAGGGUUAGGGUUAGGGUUAGGGUUAAGGUUAGGGUUAGGGUUUUAGGGUUAGGGUUAGGGGCCAGGGUAGGCGCUAACCUGUAUGCACUGUCCAUCUAAUGUCGCUCACUCCACUGGGUUUCAC